Molecule: ribosomal RNA, 440 nt
Filed under: uncultured bacterium
Lineage: Bacteria
Description: bacterial SSU rRNA
Rfam family: Bacterial small subunit ribosomal RNA
Source: RNAcentral
CCUACGGGAGGCAGCAGUGGGGAAUCUUGCACAAUGGAGGAAACUCUGAUGCAGCGAUGCCGCGUGAGUGAAGAAGGCCUUUGGGUUGUAAAGCUCUUUCGUCGGGGAAGAAAAUGACUGUACCCGAAUAAGAAGGUCCGGCUAACUUCGUGCCAGCAGCCGCGGUAAUACGAAGGGACCUAGCGUAGUUCGGAAUUACUGGGCUUAAAGAGUUCGUAGGUGGUUGAAAAAGUUGGUGGUGAAAUCCCAGAGCUUAACUCUGGAACUGCCAUCAAAACUUUUCAGCUAGAGUAUGAUAGAGGAAAGCAGAAUUUCUAGUGUAGAGGUGAAAUUCGUAGAUAUUAGAAAGAAUACCAAUUGCGAAGGCAGCUUUCUGGAUCAUUACUGACACUGAGGAACGAAAGCAUGGGUAGCGAAGAGGAUUAGAUACCCUAGUAGUC